This 610-nucleotide ribosomal RNA is filed under the name uncultured bacterium. Its description in RNAcentral is "bacterial SSU rRNA". It matches the Rfam family "Bacterial small subunit ribosomal RNA", at positions 68 to 674 of the family's 1533-position model. The record is from RNAcentral.
GGAUGAAGGAGCUUGCUCCUGGAUUCAGCGGCGGACGGGUGAGUAAUGCCUAGGAAUCUGCCUGGUAGUGGGGGACAACGUUUCGAAAGGAACGCUAAUACCGCAUACGUCCUACGGGAGAAAGCAGGGGACCUUCGGGCCUUGCGCUAUCAGAUGAGCCUAGGUCGGAUUAGCUAGUUGGUGAGGUAAUGGCUCACCAAGGCGACGAUCCGUAACUGGUCUGAGAGGAUGAUCAGUCACACUGGAACUGAGACACGGUCCAGACUCCUACGGGAGGCAGCAGUGGGGAAUAUUGGACAAUGGGCGAAAGCCUGAUCCAGCCAUGCCGCGUGUGUGAAGAAGGUCUUCGGAUUGUAAAGCACUUUAAGUUGGGAGGAAGGGUUGUAGAUUAAUACUCUGCAAUUUUGACGUUACCGACAGAAUAAGCACCGGCUAACUCUGUGCCAGCAGCCGCGGUAAUACAGAGGGUGCAAGCGUUAAUCGGAAUUACUGGGCGUAAAGCGCGCGUAGGUGGUUUGUUAAGUUGGAUGUGAAAUCCCCGGGCUCAACCUGGGAACUGCAUCCAAAACUGGCAAGCUAGAGUAUGGUAGAGGGUGGUGGAAUUUCCUGU